UCAGCAACCCAUCAAUUCCUGGUUUCCUUAACAAUUACUCAGAAAUGGUUUUACUUCAUCUAUUGAUCUUCAAACUGUGAAGAAUUAGGAGCAGUACAAAUGAAUAUUUUCUUAACUUUAAAGGAUAUAAUUUUGUGAAAAAUUAUGUGAACAUUGAAGAGUUGGAAAACAUGGAACAUUUCAAGAUUAGAGAUGAUAAUGUCUUCAUUGUCACAUAUCCAAAAUCUGUCAGAUGGUUUUUCCAGUCUCCAGUGGCACCUAAUAGGAUAAGCACAGGAACAGCACAAAGGUCUACACUCUCCAGGACUUUCAUCAUGAAUGUAUAUUUGAUUUUGUCUGCAUCUAUUCAGAUGAUCAUUAUUCAUGCUUGUUUCCUGUGAUUCUCCUGAACCUAAAGCCUGGGAACCUUAGCCACCCUUACCCCAUCCUGCCCUGUCCAGGUUUCAAGCCUUUUAACCAACCUGUCAGAAAUAAUGUCUUAGGCAGCUUUGCACAACUAGAUAAGACAGUAACCAGAUCUUGAGGCUCAGUAAUAAACAUCAAAAUAUUAGCAUCUGAUCAACCCCCAAGUGCAGACUGACCUUCAAUUCAGAGAUUGGAUUCUCUGCCUCUGGAAUUCUAGAUUAAAGUCAUGUGACAUCAUGCCCA
This is a long non-coding RNA of Psammomys obesus (fat sand rat), 648 nucleotides long. RefSeq lists it as uncharacterized. The record is from RefSeq and is a predicted model, not a curated record. Lineage: Eukaryota; Metazoa; Chordata; Mammalia; Rodentia; Muridae. The transcript is spliced from 5 exons.